This 714-nucleotide small RNA is filed under the name Pongo abelii (Sumatran orangutan). Its description in RNAcentral is "processed transcript". Lineage: Eukaryota; Metazoa; Chordata; Mammalia; Primates; Hominidae. The record is from RNAcentral.
UUUCUUGUGUUUUUUUUUUGAGAUGGGGUCUCGCUCUGUCGCCCAGGCUCUGGAGUGCAGUGGUGUGAUCACAGCUCACUGCAACCUUGACCCCCUGGAGCUCAGCUAGGGUUUCACCAUGUCGCCCAGGCUAUCUUCAAACUGUUGGACUCAAGGGAUCUGCCCACCUCGGCUGCCCAAAGUGUUGGGAUUACAGUUGUGAGGACUGACAGCUUCUGCAGAAAGCCUUCAUGCCUGCAGGAGCUACAGAACAGGGCAGGGAAGAGAGAAGGAGGAUGGGAGCAAGGGUAUAUUUUUUUCUUCCCUGCUUUGUUGAGUACAGUGACCCCCCCCACUCAAGUAAGUCUUGUCUUGCUUUGGCAGUGAACUCUUACGGGCACCCACAAGCUCCCCACCUUUACCCUGGCCCAUCACCGAUGUACCCAAUCCCCACCCAGGACUCAGCAGGAUACAAUCGCCCAGCACACCAUAUGGUCCCUCGGCCACCAGUGCCACCUCCUGGUGCCAGUGAGGAAAUCCCUGACGACUUCGACUGGGACUUGAUCACUUAGUGCAUCACACAGUGUGGACAUCAGCCCAGGGCCGCGUGGUGAAGUCUGGCAGUGGGGAAAGAGCAACCCCAGCCCAUCCCUUCCCCCCGUCUGUAUAUAGACAUAUAUCCUCUUUUUGUUCUUUCUCUGUCGGAGAAGCCACUGCAAGAUGCUGCCGAAGAUA